This 445-nucleotide ribosomal RNA is filed under the name uncultured bacterium. RNAcentral describes it as "partial 16S ribosomal RNA". It matches the Rfam family "Bacterial small subunit ribosomal RNA", at positions 354 to 796 of the family's 1533-position model. The record is from RNAcentral.
GUAGGGAAUAUUGGGCAAUGGAUGCAAGUCUGACCCAGCCAUCCCGCGUGCCGGAAGAAGGCCCUCAGGGUUGUAAACGGCUUUUGACGGUGAAGAAUCGACAGGAUGCGUCCUGUUUUGACGGUAGCCGUUGAAUAAGCACCGGCUAACUCCGUGCCAGCAGCCGCGGUAAUACGGAGGGUGCGAGCGUUGUCCGGAUUUAUUGGGUUUAAAGGGUGCGUAGGCUGGAAGGUCAGUCAGCGGUGAAAAGCUGUCGCUUAACGAUAGUCGUGCCGCAGAUACUUCCUUUCUUGGAUGAGGAGGAGGCCACUGGAACGGAUGGUGUAGCGGUGAAAUGCAUAGAUAUCAUCCAGAACACCGAUUGCGAAGGCAGGUGGCUGUACCUUAAUCGACGCUGAUGCACGAAAGCAUGGGGAGCAAACAGGAUUAGAUACCCUAGUAGUCC